Molecule: transfer RNA, 74 nt
Filed under: Chelonia mydas (Green sea turtle)
Lineage: Eukaryota; Metazoa; Chordata; Testudines; Cheloniidae
Rfam family: tRNA
About the family: Transfer RNA (tRNA) molecules are approximately 80 nucleotides in length. Their secondary structure includes four short double-helical elements and three loops (D, anti-codon, and T loops). Further hydrogen bonds mediate the characteristic L-shaped molecular structure. tRNAs have two regions of fundamental functional importance: the anti-codon, which is responsible for specific mRNA codon recognition, and the 3' end, to which the tRNAs corresponding amino acid is attached (by aminoacyl-tRNA synthetases). tRNAs cope with the degeneracy of the genetic code in two manners: having more than one tRNA (with a specific anti-codon) for a particular amino acid; and 'wobble' base-pairing, i.e. permitting non-standard base-pairing at the 3rd anti-codon position.
Source: Rfam by way of RNAcentral
GGCUGGUUAGCUAAGUUGGUUAGAGCGUGGUGCUAAUAACGCCAAAGUCGCGGGUUCGAUCCCCGUACGGGCCA